AUUGAACGCUGGCGGCACGCCUUACACAUGCAAGUCGAACGGUAACAGGUCUUCGGAUGCUGACGAGUGGCGAACGGGUGAGUAAUACAUCGGAACGUGCCUAGUAGUGGGGGAUAACUACUAGAAAGAGUGGCUAAUACCGCAUGAGAUCUACGGAUGAAAGCAGGGGAUCGCAAGACCUUGUGCUACUAGAGCGGCCGAUGGCAGAUUAGGUAGUUGGUGGGAUAAAAGCUUACCAAGCCGACGAUCUGUAGCUGGUCUGAGAGGACGAUCAGCCACACUGGGACUGAGAAACGGCCCAGACUCCUACGGGAGGCAGCAGUGGGGAAUUUUGGACAAUGGGCGCAAGCCUGAUCCAGCAAUGCCGCGUGCAGGAUGAAGGCCUUCGGGUUGUAAACUGCUUUUGUACGGAACGAAAAGCCCCGGGUUAAUACCCUGGGGUCAUGACGGUACCGUAAGAAUAAGCACCGGCUAACUACGUGCCAGCCGCCGCGGUAA
RNAcentral lists this ribosomal RNA (498 nucleotides) under uncultured bacterium. RNAcentral's name for it is "partial 16S ribosomal RNA". It matches the Rfam family "Bacterial small subunit ribosomal RNA", at positions 30 to 523 of the family's 1533-position model. The record is from RNAcentral.